RNAcentral lists this ribosomal RNA (767 nucleotides) under Tulasnella sp. FO24462a. RNAcentral describes it as "eukaryotic LSU rRNA". The stretch from base 278 to 436 matches the Rfam family "5.8S ribosomal RNA". The record is from RNAcentral. Lineage: Eukaryota; Fungi; Basidiomycota; Agaricomycetes; Cantharellales; Tulasnellaceae.
GUAGGUGAACCUGCGGAAGGAUCAGUCUUGAAUUAGUCUGAUUCCGGCGACGCGUGCCUCACGGCGCUGCUCGCCGGGUGAGCCCUCUGGGCUUCACAUCCCUUCGUGUGAUCCUCGUGGUCACGUUAAUUGGAGCGAGAGGUCAUCCUCCGCCCUGCGGUCUGGACGUUCGCGUCGGGUCCUCUCCGCAUCGCCCCCACCGAACAUGCAUAAAUACAUGGGGCGGGCCUCUGGCCAGACUUAACUACACAACUAUCGAGAUCAUACAGUUUUAUACAACUGGUAGCGUUGGAUCCCUCGGCAUGGCUAUCGAUGAAGAGCGCGGCCAGCUGCGAAAUGUGAUGUGAAUUGCAACUCAAAGCGGUUAUCGUGAAUCAUUGACUACUUGAACGCAUUGCACCGCCCUUUUGGGAGUGGUACGCCCGAUUGAGUGUCAUAAUCUCUUCAGGCCCCUCGGUCUUGGUCGUUCGCUCGACGGCCGCAGAUGCGCUGCAACCCAUCUUCCACAGGUGGCGGAGGCACUUUUGCGGGAGACUCUGGUGGCUCUGGCUUCGAGGCUGCACGGCGACCCCGCCGCGCGCCUUCAGAUGCAUUAGCGGUCGAUCCUGGUCAGACAAGUUCGACUCCACGUGAUGAUAUCAUGUUCGUGGAGGAGUGCCUAGCACGCUUGUCCGUUUGGGUGCUGCUUCGAACCCGCCCUCGGGCAAACCCCACCUCGGUGGAACCUUGACAUUGGCCUCAGUUGGGUGGGAUGACCCGCUUGAUUU